GGCGCUUGGACGAGCAACGCGAUGGACAUCAGUGGUGAGCCAAAUGGCACGUACACCGUCGUUGUCACAGGCACCAAUGCCUCAAAUGUGGAAGCAACAGAAAGCACAAACUUCACGUUGGCACAGGCGUUGCCAACACUGACCAACGCAACCUUUAACCCAACGCACCAAGCGGAAGG
RNAcentral lists this ribosomal RNA (179 nucleotides) under Vibrio parahaemolyticus VPTS-2010. RNAcentral describes it as "partial 16S ribosomal RNA". The record is from RNAcentral. Lineage: Bacteria; Pseudomonadati; Pseudomonadota; Gammaproteobacteria; Vibrionales; Vibrionaceae.